UACGUAGGUGGCAAGCGUUGUCCGGAUUUACUGGGCGUAAAGAGCGCGCAGGCGGUCGUUCAAGUCGCGUGUGAAAGCCCCCGGCUCAACUGGGGAGGGUCACGCGAUACUGAUCGACUCGAAGGCAGGAGAGGGUAGUGGAAUUCCCGGUGUAGUGGUGAAAUGCGUAGAUAUCGGGAGGAACACCAGUGGCGAAGGCGGCUUCCUGGCCUGUUCUUGACGCUGAGGCGCGAAAGCUAGGGGAGCAAACGGG
This 253-nucleotide ribosomal RNA is filed under the name uncultured bacterium. Its description in RNAcentral is "partial 16S ribosomal RNA". It matches the Rfam family "Bacterial small subunit ribosomal RNA", at positions 524 to 776 of the family's 1533-position model. The record is from RNAcentral.